This is a long non-coding RNA of Myripristis murdjan (pinecone soldierfish), 93 nucleotides long. RefSeq lists it as uncharacterized. The transcript has 3 exons. NCBI's taxonomy places the organism in Eukaryota, Metazoa, Chordata, Actinopteri, Holocentriformes, Holocentridae. The record is from RefSeq and is a predicted model, not a curated record.
ACUGCCAGGUCAAAAUGUACAAACUCCAUUCUUCCACUACUUGCAUUCCCCCGACAUGCACCAAGCCAGCAAGGUAACAGAAGUGCCUGCACU